Molecule: transfer RNA, 89 nt
Filed under: Rhodothermaceae bacterium RA
Lineage: Bacteria; Pseudomonadati; Rhodothermota; Rhodothermia; Rhodothermales; Rhodothermaceae
Rfam family: tRNA
About the family: Transfer RNA (tRNA) molecules are approximately 80 nucleotides in length.
Source: Rfam by way of RNAcentral
GGAGAGGUGCCGGAGUGGCCGAACGGGCUCGCCUGGAAAGCGAGUGUACCCUUCACGGGGUACCGAGGGUUCGAAUCCCUCCCUCUCCG